Molecule: ribosomal RNA, 838 nt
Filed under: uncultured delta proteobacterium
Lineage: Bacteria; Deltaproteobacteria
Description: bacterial SSU rRNA
Rfam family: Bacterial small subunit ribosomal RNA
Source: RNAcentral
UAAUACAUGCAAGUCGAACGAGGUAGCAAUACCUAGUGGCGCACGGGUGAGUAACGCGUGGAUAAUCUGCCCUCUAGUGGGGAAUAACCAUCCGAAAGGAUGGCUAAUACCGCAUGAGGCCACAGUUCCUACGGGAACAGGGGUUAAAGAUUUAUCGCUAGAGGAUGAGUCUGCGUGGGAUUAGCUAGUUGGUGGGGUAAUGGCCCACCAAGGCAACGAUCUCUAACUGGUCUGAGAGGAUGGCCAGUCACACUGGAACUGAGACACGGUCCAGACUCCUACGGGAGGCAGCAGUAGGGAAUAUUGCGCAAUGGGGGAAACCCUGACGCAGCGACGCCGCGUGAGUGAUGAAGGCCUUAGGGUCGUAAAGCUCUGUUGAAUGGGAAGAAAAAAAUGACGGUACCAUUCGAGGAAGGACCGGCUAACUUCGUGCCAGCAGCCGCGGUAAGACGAGGGGUCCUAGCGUUGUUCGGAAUCAUUGGGCGUAAAGCGUGUGUAGGCGGCCUUGCAAGUCAGUUGUGAAAGCCCCGGGCUUAACCCGGGAAGUGCUUCUGAUACUGCUUGGCUUGAGUACUGGAGAGGAUAGUGGAAUUCCAGGUGUAGUGGUGAAAUACGUAGAUAUCUGGAGGAACACCGGUGGCGAAGGCGGCUAUCUGGCCAUGUACUGACGCUGAGACACGAAAGCGUGGGGAGCAAACAGGAUUAGAUACCCUGGUAGUCCACGCCGUAAACGAUGGGUACUUGGUGUUGGAGGUAUUGACCCCUUCAGUGCCGAAGCUAACGCGUUAAGUACCCCGCCUGGGGAGUACGGCCGCAAGGUUAAAACUCAAAGGAAUUG